This 562-nucleotide ribosomal RNA is filed under the name Bacillus thuringiensis. RNAcentral describes it as "bacterial SSU rRNA". It matches the Rfam family "Bacterial small subunit ribosomal RNA", at positions 38 to 582 of the family's 1533-position model. The record is from RNAcentral. Lineage: Bacteria; Bacillati; Bacillota; Bacilli; Caryophanales; Bacillaceae.
GGCGGACGAGCUAUACAUGCAGUCGAGCGAAUGGAUUCAGAGCUUGCUCUUAUGAAGUUAGCGGCGGACGGGUGAGUAACACGUGGGUAACCUGCCCAUAAGACUGGGAUAACUCCGGGAAACCGGGGCUAAUACCGGAUAACAUUUUGAACCGCAUGGUUCGAAAUUGAAAGGCGGCUUCGGCUGGCACUUAUGGAUGGACCCGCGUCGCAUUAGCUAGUUGGGGAGGUAACGGCUCACCAGGGCAACGAUGCGUAGCCGACCUGAGAGGGUGAUCGGCCACACUGGGACUGAGACACGGCCCAGACUCCUACGGGAGGCAGCAGUAGGGAAUCUUCCGCAAUGGACGAAAGUCUGACGGAGCAGCGCCGCGUGAGUGAUGAAGGCUUUCGGGUCGUAAAACUCUGUUGUUAGGGAAGAACAAGUGCUAGUUGAAUAAGCUGGCACCUUGACGGUACCUAACCAGAAAGCCACGGCAAACUACGUGCCAGCAGCCGCGGUAAUACCUAGGUGGCAAGCGUUAUCCGGAAUUAUUGGGCGUAUGGCGCGCGCAGGUGGUUUC